GGAUGCGCUAAUGGACGACACGGAUGACAAGGAAAGUGACAUCGUACAUGUUCUGGGUGUCUUGAGGAGCUUGUCUUUGGAUGAUGCUGAGCAGGUCUUUCUUUCUGUGAAGUAAAAGAAUUUAACAGACAGAUUGACAAACAACUGACGAAAGAAGAGAGACCAUUCUAUAGGUGGUCCCUUUAUUUAUCAGGGGUUGCCACAGCAGAAUGAACCGCCAACUUAUGCAGCAUAUGUUUUACACAGUGGAUACCCUUCCAGCCGCAACCCAGUACUGGGAAACACCCAUUUACAAUUAUAUACUUGAACAUGGGGAGAACAUGCAAACUCCACACAGAAAUGACCACUGGCCCAGCCGGGGCUUGAACCAGCAACCUUCUUGCUGUGAGGCGACGGUUUCAACCACUGUGCUGCCCCAUGUGCUCUAUGCGGAGGCCUCUAGAGAUCGUGACCUGUGAAGAGAUGAUGCCACCAUAGAGGACUUCUAGAUGUAUCCAUAAUCCUGGACCAGACCGUAUCAUGAUCAGAUGCAGUGGUGGUCAUGGAGAAGUGGAGAGCAUGAUACUGAUUAAUGAAAGACCCCAGCGACAGAUGAGUGCCCACAUUGAUCCUGUGGUCCAGCCUGAAAACCCGCUGGUGCCCUACUCACACCUGCAGCUUCUCCACGAUGGACGCCCA
Molecule: long non-coding RNA, 678 nt
Filed under: Danio rerio (zebrafish)
Lineage: Eukaryota; Metazoa; Chordata; Actinopteri; Cypriniformes; Danionidae
Description: si:ch211-245b21.1 (ENSDARG00000095080.3)
Source: RNAcentral